This 202-nucleotide unclassified non-coding RNA is filed under the name Hevea brasiliensis (rubber tree). Lineage: Eukaryota; Viridiplantae; Streptophyta; Magnoliopsida; Malpighiales; Euphorbiaceae. The record is from RNAcentral.
GACGCUCUAGCAUCCUGCCACACAAUUGCAUUUGACAAAACUGGGACAUUGACAACCGGAGGGCUUAUGUUUAAAGCAAUUGAACCAAUUUAUGGACAUCUGGUAAGAAACAAGAACAUAAAUUUCACUUCCUGUUGCACUCCCAGCUGUGAGAAAGAAGCUCUUGCUGUAGCAGCUGCUAUGGAAAAGGGUACUACUCACC